UAGGGAAUCUUCCGCAAUGGACGCAAGUCUGACGGAGCAACGCCGCGUGAGUGAAGAAGGAUUUCGGUUCGUAAAACUCUGUUGUUAGAGAAGAACAGCGCAUAGAGUAACUGUUAUGCGUGUGACGGUAUCUAACCAGAAAGCCACGGCUAACUACGUGCCAGCAGCCGCGGUAAUACGUAGGUGGCAAGCGUUGUCCGGAUUUAUUGGGCGUAAAGCGAGCGCAGGCGGUCAAUUAAGUCUGAUGUGAAAGCCCCCGGCUCAACCGGGGAGGGUCAUUGGAAACUGGUGGACUUGAGUGCAGAAGAGGGGAGUGGAAUUCCAUGUGUAGCGGUGAAAUGCGUAGAUAUAUGGAGGAACACCAGUGGCGAAGGCGACUCUCUGGUCUGUAACUGACGCUGAGGCUCGAAAGCGUGGGUAGCAAACAGG
Molecule: ribosomal RNA, 429 nt
Filed under: Bacteroidota bacterium
Lineage: Bacteria; Pseudomonadati; Bacteroidota
Description: Bacteroidetes bacterium partial 16S ribosomal RNA
Rfam family: Bacterial small subunit ribosomal RNA
Source: RNAcentral